Molecule: ribosomal RNA, 434 nt
Filed under: uncultured archaeon
Lineage: Archaea
Description: bacterial SSU rRNA
Rfam family: Archaeal small subunit ribosomal RNA
Source: RNAcentral
GGACCUGACUGCUAUCGGAUUGAUACUAAGCCAUGCAAGUCUUUGUAGUAAUACAAGGCAUACGGCUCAGUAACGCGUAGUCAACCUACCCUAUGGAUGGGGAUAAUCUCGGGAAACUGAGCAUAAUACCCAACAGAUCAUCAAUUCUGGAAUGGUUGAUGAUUCAAAUGAUUUUUCGCCAUAGGAUGGGACUGCGGCCUAUCAGCUUGUUGGUGAGGUAAUGGCCCACCAAGGCAAUUACAGGUACGGGCUCUGAGAGGAGAAGCCCGGAGAUGGGUACUGAGACAAGGACCCAGGCCCUAUGGGGCGCAGCAGGCGAGAAAACUUUGCAAUGUGCGAAAGCACGACAAGGUUAAUCCGAGUGGUUUCUGCUAAAGAAACCUUUUGUCAGUCCUAGAAACACUGAUGAAUAAGGGGUGGGCAAGUUCUGGUGU